This 195-nucleotide ribosomal RNA is filed under the name Escherichia coli. RNAcentral's name for it is "partial 23S ribosomal RNA". It matches the Rfam family "Bacterial large subunit ribosomal RNA", at positions 2748 to 2925 of the family's 2925-position model. The record is from RNAcentral. Lineage: Bacteria; Pseudomonadati; Pseudomonadota; Gammaproteobacteria; Enterobacterales; Enterobacteriaceae.
GCUAAAUGCGGAAGAGAUAAGUGCUGAAAGCAUCUAAGCACGAAACUUGCCCCGAGAUGAGUUCUCCCUGACUCCUUGAGAGUCCUGAAGGAACGUUGAAGACGACGACGUUGAUAGGCCGGGUGUGUAAGCGCAGCGAUGCGUUGAGCUAACCGGUACUAAUGAACCGUGAGGCUUAACCUUACAACGCCGAAG